CAGCCGCCGCGGGAAUACGAAGGGGGCUAGCGUUGUUCGGAUUUACUGGGCGUAAAGCGCACGUAGGCGGAUCGAUCAGUCAGGGGUGAAAUCCCAGAGCUCAACUCUGGAACUGCCUUUGAUACUGUCGAUCUGGAGUAUGGAAGAGGUGAGUGGAAUUCCGAGUGUAGAGGUGAAAUUCGUAGAUAUUCGGAGGAACACCAGUGGCGAAGGCGGCUCACUGGUCCAUUACUGACGCUGAGGUGCGAAAGCGUGGGGAGCAAUCAGGAUUAGAUACCCCAGUAGUCCCUGUCUCUUAUAC
Molecule: ribosomal RNA, 301 nt
Filed under: uncultured bacterium
Lineage: Bacteria
Description: partial 16S ribosomal RNA
Rfam family: Bacterial small subunit ribosomal RNA
Source: RNAcentral